GGUAGGGUGGCUGAGAAGGAAAGCGGUGGAUUGUAGCCCCAUGCAUAGAGGUUAAACCCCUCUUCCUACCA
RNAcentral lists this transfer RNA (71 nucleotides) under Taeniacara candidi. RNAcentral's name for it is "tRNA-Tyr". It matches the Rfam family "tRNA". Rfam says of the family: Transfer RNA (tRNA) molecules are approximately 80 nucleotides in length. Their secondary structure includes four short double-helical elements and three loops (D, anti-codon, and T loops). Lineage: Eukaryota; Metazoa; Chordata; Actinopteri; Cichliformes; Cichlidae. The record is from RNAcentral.